Molecule: ribosomal RNA, 856 nt
Filed under: uncultured bacterium
Lineage: Bacteria
Description: bacterial SSU rRNA
Rfam family: Bacterial small subunit ribosomal RNA
Source: RNAcentral
GACGAACGCUGGCGGCGUGCUUAACACAUGCAAGUCGAGCGGUAAGGCUCCUUCGGGAGUACACGAGCGGCGAACGGGUGAGUAACACGUGAGCAAUCUGCCCUUCACUUUGGGAUAACCACCGGAAACGGUGGCUAAUACCGAAUACGACCACUUCAGGCAUCUGAUGGUGGUGGAAAGUUCCGGCGGUGGAGGAUGAGCUCGCGGCCUAUCAGCUUGUUGGUGGGGUAAUGGCCUACCAAGGCAACGACGGGUAGCCGGCCUGAGAGGGUGACCGGCCACACUGGGACUGAGACACGGCCCAGACUCCUACGGGAGGCAGCAGUGGGGAAUAUUGGACAAUGGGCGAAAGCCUGAUCCAGCAACGCCGCGUGAGGGAUGACGGCCUUCGGGUUGUAAACCUCUUUCAGUAGGGACGAAGCGCAAGUGACGGUACCUACAGAAGAAGCACCGGCCAACUACGUGCCAGCAGCCGCGGUAAUACGUAGGGUGCGAGCGUUGUCCGGAAUUAUUGGGCGUAAAGGGCUCGUAGGCGGUUUGUCGCGUCGGGAGUGAAAACACGGGGCUUAACCCCGUGCCUGCUUCCGAUACGGGCAGACUAGAGGUAUGCAGGGGAGAACGGAAUUCCUGGUGUAGCGGUGAAAUGCGCAGAUAUCAGGAGGAACACCGGUGGCGAAGGCGGUUCUCUGGGCAUUACCUGACGCUGAGGAGCGAAAGUGUGGGGAGCGAACAGGAUUAGAUACCCUGGUACUCCACACCGUAAACGUUGGGCGCUAGGUGUGGGACUCAUUCCACGAGUUCCGUGCCGCAGCUAACGCAUUAAGCGCCCCGCCUGGGGAGUACGGCCGCAAGGCUA